CGUCGGUUUGGCGACGAUAAAGAGGUUUUUAGGCCAAACGCGGCAGCAUGCAGUAUCUAGAGCGUGCUGCGGAACA
Molecule: ribozyme, 76 nt
Filed under: unclassified sequences
Description: pistol ribozyme
Rfam family: Pistol ribozyme
Source: RNAcentral